AUGACCCGCAGUCCCUCAAUGACGUCGAAGAAGCCCCCAAAGGGAGCUGGUCGAGUUGCGAGCUCAACACUCAACCCGGCACGGAUGGAAAGCGCACUCGGGAGCAGCCCGACUGGAUUCGAACCCGGGAACCUCCGUUCCGGAAUCCGGCGCUGAUGUCACUGCGCCACCAGCCGACAAGAUAACAAGAACCAUGCAUACGCUUGAAACCUUGGGUUGCUAAGAGGCUGCGUCAGAGCUGUAACUUGGCAGGAAUAAUCAAUAUUAAGAACUGGAAAAAUCCACCUCAGAUGAAUGUGAACCGUUGCUGAAAGGACAUCAUGAAGCUGCAGACUACAAGGGGCUU
Molecule: long non-coding RNA, 346 nt
Organism: Mobula hypostoma (lesser devil ray)
Lineage: Eukaryota; Metazoa; Chordata; Chondrichthyes; Myliobatiformes; Myliobatidae
Exons: 3
Source: RefSeq, a predicted model, not a curated record